UUCCCACAAUUCCUAUAGUGAUAGUACUUCCUGGUUAGAUUCCACGUAGCUUCGGUGGCGUUAUAGAGCUUCAGAGUAGGAAAAUAGCUGCAAACAAAGACUCUUAGGGCUUUAUUCAUGUAUCUACGACUUUUGUUCAGUCGCGUUUAUAGACGUGUUUGUUACAUUUGAUAAUAAUGAAGCCACAGGCGCGCGUGGCGCUGUGUUUGCCCUCAUAUAAAGGCUAGGCUAUGCUAUCAAGCUAAUAUCAGCAAGACUAGUUAGCAAGUAGUUGUGUUGUUUACAUAUUUCUUUCAAGAUGUAUACUUUAUUAUCUGGUUUAUAUAAGUACAUGUUCCAAAAGGACGAAUACUGUGUUUUAAUCCUGGGACUAGACAACGCUGGGAAAACGACCUUUCUGGAACAGACCAAAACCAAGUUCAGUAAGAACUAUAAGGGAAUGAAUUUAUCAAAGAUCACUACCACGGUUGGCCUGAACAUUGGUACAAUAGAUGUGGGCAAGGCUCGUCUCAUGUUUUGGGAUCUUGGAGGUCAGGACGAGCUCCAGUCUCUGUGGGACAAAUACUAUGCUGAAUCCCAUGGAGUCAUCUAUGUGAUAGAUUCAACUGAUGAAGAGCGCCUGUCAGAGUCGAAGGAGGCCUUUGAGAAAAUGAUCAGCAAUGAGGCAUUAGAAGGUGUCCCUCUCCUCGUGCUAGCCAACAAGCAGGAUGUACCGGACUGUUUGUCUGUGCCAGACAUAAAAACAGCCUUCAGCGACUCUGCCCCGAAGAUCGGAAAGAGAGAUUGUUUAGUCCAGCCCUGCACUGCUCUGACAGGGUAAGAUUGCUCUGUAAUCUGAAGGUUGGAUUUCCAAAAAACAUAUGGCAGUGGCUGAAAUGUCCUCUGAAGGCGCAUUAUUUGCAACUACCAACCAAACAAAUCUUUACUUGGGAUGGAGUGAACGAAGGCAUAGAGUGGAUGGUUAAGUGUGUGGUCCGGAACAUUCACAGGCCUCCCAGACAGAAGGACAUCACGUAAGAGGACCCAGUACUCUUUACUCAUUUUGGACUUUCUCCUUAAGGACAUUCCAUGUAAACCCUGGAGCUGAUGACUCUUCUCUCCUCGUUUGGACUUCUGCCUUUAGGAGUCCGUUACAGACAGUGCGACAGGAUCAUUGUGCUUUGAAUGGGCUCUGUUUUUCUUGUUUUGAAGCUGUGUAAUGACCUCUUCUGUCCCAUUCUGUCACUGUCUGUAUGGAGCUUCACUGGCUGACUGUAAGGCGUCAGCAGGACAAAUCCAGCUCUGAAAUAUACAACACUGUAGAGGAGGAGCUCCAUUUUUUGAACAGGAUAGAACAUUUUCUGAGUAUAUUCCGGCAAACGGUCUCGACAGGAGACCUGGUUGACAGUGUUUAGACCGAGCAUGGAGUCCAGCUCGCACUAGCGCUUUGAACUCUCCAACCCGAUUUACAGACCAUAGAACCAGGAAGCACUCGCCACUCUGCUUCUUUACUUGUUUCUAACAACUGAAACCUUCAUUGUGACGUUAAUCACUCUUCAUUUAUUUGGCUUCACAUAAUUAACACAAGAUAAACUCAUGUAAGAUAAGUGACAGUUGAGGUUUUGUUAAAUGAUUUCGCAUUUAUUAGAGGACAUGGCAAUGGAGCUCCAUACAGAGGGGAGGGGGGGGUUGUAAGCCACACAUACAACUGUUGGCUUGAGAUGUCCGCUGUCUGUUAUCUAUCUUCUGUAACACAUUCAGAGUGAUCAAACAGGUUUUUAUUUCACUGGGUUUGGAAUUGUUCAUUAUGUUGCAGAGGGCCUACAGCUGGGUGCAAUAUUUGUAAAAACUAAACGCACAAACUGUGCUGAGAAAUCGUACUGACCUCUGCUGAAUUACUUUGACCUGGUUUAACUAGGGGUGUGUGAAGUAGUUAACAAUUGAAGGUGACUUAUUUUGUCAGUCACUAUAUAUAUAUAUAUAUAUAUAUAUAUAUAUAUGGUUGAUAAAACAAUAAAUCUCAGAUUUCAAACAAACGGCAUCUGUCAUGUUUUAGUUCAAAUCAGUCCUGCUGUCAGUUCUCACACCGACCCUCACACCCUCAACGGGACGGUUUGUAUCCAGCCGUGAAAGCUAAUCAUGCUAUCAGUGACUGGGUGAGUGUUUCUGUUUGUGUUUUUCUACAUGACUGCAUGAAUUUAAAGGCAACCAGUUGAUUGUGAUUAUAUUGGACUCCCACAAGUCAUGAUGCACGACUAUUAUGUUUUUGGCAUUUUCGGUUUGAUGCUAAUUAUAUAUAUUUUAAAUGUGUAUAUAAAUACAGCUCCACUUGAGACCACUGUAGCAUUAUCAGAUUCUAUGGUUUUAUUAUUCAUAGGCAUGUCUUUGAGUUAAAUGUUUAUUUAUUUUGUAUUAUUGUAUUCUAUAAACUACUGAAAAUGUUUUCUCUGUGUUGGAAUUCAACAGGUACUGGGAUAGCUGCCAUACAUGUAGAGAUAAAGAUUUAAGAACAAUAAGAGUGGUCUUAAUUUAUGCCGGGGCUGUAUCUAUAUUGAUUAAGUCAAGCGUACUAAAGACUAAGGGCAAUAUUGCUAAUGACCUGUGGUAUUUAGAACAAAAACUGUUUCAAGAAAUCGAGUAUAUCCCAAAAGGAUAAAGGGUAAACAUCUUAAGGAUAUCAUGUGAGCUUGGUCUGCUGCAGCACGGUGCGACCCUCUGACAGAAUCAGCUAUAGCUAAGGAAGGAAAGGACAGCACAAGCCCUUUUAUCUUCCUUAUUGUAGAGAUGAUCAUUCUUGCUAGGCAUGGCUUAUCACAGGUACAAAGCAACAUGCAACACUUAUUUAUUUUCAGUAUUUCUCAAUAUCUGGAAUAUACUCUGGUCAGCCUGUGCACACACACACACACACAAAAUACUAUACAGGCCCAACCAGCAGGAUCAGUUCUGUGGCCCUUCAACAGGAGCUGAGGAUCAAUCUGGGCCUGGAGGAUGCGCUCCUCCCCGCUGAUUACAGUGUUUCUCUGCAUUUGGAUCACUUCAUAGUGUAAUGUUCACUCAGAAGCAUAUGCCACUGAACACAAUUUAUUUUAAUUUAGUAGGAGGGUCAUGAGUGUUAGGGAAUAUUUUUUCUGUUUAACCUUUGACCUAGUUCAUAAUUUUCUCCUUCCUCAGUCUGCGUUCCCAUGGCAUAGGUCUUUAGACCUUGGGGUUGCUGUAAUCUCCCUUAAGGAGGGGCAGCUUGGGCGCUUUGUUGAUGCCAGUCUAUGACCGAGCACAAACUGACCUGAGAUAGUUUAUUGUUCAGGGUCGUCUAGAAGCCCUUCUUAUCUGGAACGUAGGUUCUUUUCCAUGGACGACAGCUUUCGUUAGAUUCAGGGUCCAUAUUUGUUAACUCUCACUGAUGAGGCAAUGUUGAAUAACACACUGAACUGGUUAAAACCUCGGACUGCAGAAGAGAUCUUCAGAAUUCAGAAACUGCUCUGCCAACUCGUGGCUGCAGCACAUGUCUUGUCAAUUCUCCAUCCCUUAACUUCAGAAUAAACCUUCAGUGUUUGCCAUCAAA
This is an RNA transcript of Eleginops maclovinus (Patagonian blennie), 3541 nucleotides long. It is a transcript of the gene named ADP-ribosylation factor related protein 1, with no coding region annotated. The transcript has 7 exons. NCBI's taxonomy places the organism in Eukaryota, Metazoa, Chordata, Actinopteri, Perciformes, Eleginopidae. The record is from RefSeq and is a predicted model, not a curated record.